CCGGAGGUGGCAGAGUGGCCAAUUGCAACAGACUGUAAAUCUGUCGGGUUUUCCCUGCGAAGGUUCGAAUCCUUCCCUCCGGACCA
Molecule: transfer RNA, 86 nt
Filed under: Candidatus Daviesbacteria bacterium
Lineage: Bacteria; Candidatus Daviesiibacteriota
Description: tRNA-Tyr
Rfam family: tRNA
About the family: Transfer RNA (tRNA) molecules are approximately 80 nucleotides in length.
Source: RNAcentral